AACGAACGCUGGCGGCAUGCCUAACACAUGCAAGUCGAACGAGACCUUCGGGUCUAGUGGCGCACGGGUGCGUAACGCGUGGGAACCUGCCCUUAGGUUCGGAAUAACUCCCCGACAGGGGUGCUAAUACCGGAUAAUAUCUUCGGACCAAAGAUUUAUCGCCUUUGGAUGGGCCCGCGUUGGAUUAGCUAGUUGGUAGGGUAAAAGCCUACCAAGGCGACGAUCCAUAGCUGGUCUGAGAGGAUGAUCAGCCACACUGGGACUGAGACACGGCCCAGACUCCUACGGGAGGCAGCAGUGGGGAAUAUUGGACAAUGGGCGAAAGCCUGAUGCAGCAAGGCCGCGUGAGUGAUGAAGGCCUUAGGGUUGUAAAGCUCUUUUACCCGGGAUGAUAAUGACAGUACCGGGAGAAUAAGCUCCGGCUAACUCCGUG
RNAcentral lists this ribosomal RNA (433 nucleotides) under uncultured bacterium. Its description in RNAcentral is "partial 16S ribosomal RNA". It matches the Rfam family "Bacterial small subunit ribosomal RNA", at positions 29 to 507 of the family's 1533-position model. The record is from RNAcentral.